GGCGUCGAGCGGCGGACGGGUGAGUAAUGCCUAGGAAAUUGCCCUGAUGUGGGGGAUAACCAUUGGAAACGAUGGCUAAUACCGCAUGAUGCCUACGGGCCAAAGAGGGGGACCUUCGGGCCUCUCGCGUCAGGAUAUGCCUAGGUGGGAUUAGCUAGUUGGUGAGGUAAGGGCUCACCAAGGCGACGAUCCCUAGCUGGUCUGAGAGGAUGAUCAGCCACACUGGAACUGAGACACGGUCCAGACUCCUACGGGAGGCAGCAGUGGGGAAUAUUGCACAAUGGGCGCAAGCCUGAUGCAGCCAUGCCGCGUGUGUGAAGAAGGCCUUCGGGUUGUAAAGCACUUUCAGUCGUGAGGAAGGU
This 362-nucleotide ribosomal RNA is filed under the name Vibrio parahaemolyticus. Its description in RNAcentral is "bacterial SSU rRNA". It matches the Rfam family "Bacterial small subunit ribosomal RNA", at positions 87 to 452 of the family's 1533-position model. Lineage: Bacteria; Pseudomonadati; Pseudomonadota; Gammaproteobacteria; Vibrionales; Vibrionaceae. The record is from RNAcentral.